RNAcentral lists this ribosomal RNA (253 nucleotides) under uncultured bacterium. Its description in RNAcentral is "partial 16S ribosomal RNA". It matches the Rfam family "Bacterial small subunit ribosomal RNA", at positions 524 to 776 of the family's 1533-position model. The record is from RNAcentral.
UACGUAGGGUGCAAGCGUUAAUCGGAAUUACUGGGCGUAAAGCGUGCGCAGACGGUUGCGUAAGUCAGAUGUGAAAGCCCCGGGCUCAACCUGGGAAUUGCAUUUGAGACUGCGUAGCUAGGGUGCGGAAGAGGGAAGCGGAAUUUCCGGGUGUAGCGGUGAAAUGCGUAGAUAUCGGAAGGAACACCAGUGGCGAAAGCGGCUCCUGGUCCAGCACCGACGUUCAGGCACGAAAGCGUGGGGAGCAAACAGG